ACACACACACACACACAAAAAUAAAUAAAUAAAAGAACCAAUGAUGACAAUUAAAAAGGAUUUACUGUGGAAAGGAUAAUCAAUUAUGCAAGUACAAAACUAAAAUACAGAUUAUGUGUCUUGUAACAGCACAAACAAUAAAGAAUGAUGUUGUAGGUGAACUCAAAAUGGCACUGGCACAAAAUGACCCCACUGGAGGUAAAGAAAAAAGAAAUCCAUUUUUUCAAAUGGAGAGCUCUUAUCAGACACUAUCAAUGUUAAUUUUCAACAAUCACAACCUUCACUUUUUCUAGGUUGAGGCCAAUGAUCACCAUCUUAUGAUAACAACAAAGUCCCUCUGCAUAGUUGGAUGAGAGCAGUUUUGCAAAUAAGUAUAGUAUCACUACAAAUUAAUAAAUAAAUAUGCCUACAUAAAAAGAAAUGGCAGCAAACAAAUUGAGGAAGCUUACACCCAGAAUGGGG
RNAcentral lists this unclassified non-coding RNA (462 nucleotides) under Hevea brasiliensis (rubber tree). Lineage: Eukaryota; Viridiplantae; Streptophyta; Magnoliopsida; Malpighiales; Euphorbiaceae. The record is from RNAcentral.